Molecule: ribosomal RNA, 100 nt
Filed under: Escherichia coli
Lineage: Bacteria; Pseudomonadati; Pseudomonadota; Gammaproteobacteria; Enterobacterales; Enterobacteriaceae
Also listed under: 8 other names
Source: RNAcentral
UCUGGCGGCAGUAGCGCGGUGGUCCCACCUGACCCCAUGCCGAACUCAGAAGUGAAACGCCGUAGCGCCGAUGGUAGUGUGGGGUCUCCCCAUGCGAGAG